RNAcentral lists this ribosomal RNA (496 nucleotides) under uncultured bacterium. Its description in RNAcentral is "partial 16S ribosomal RNA". It matches the Rfam family "Bacterial small subunit ribosomal RNA", at positions 28 to 506 of the family's 1533-position model. The record is from RNAcentral.
GAUGAACGCUGGCGGCGUGCCUAAUACAUGCAAGUCGAGCGAACAGACGAGGAGCUUGCUCCUCUGACGUUAGCGGCGGACGGGUGAGUAACACGUGGAUAACCUACCUAUAAGACUGGGAUAACUUCGGGAAACCGGAGCUAAUACCGGAUAAUAUAUUGAACCGCAUGGUUCAAUAGUGAAAGACGGUUUUGCUGUCACUUAUAGAUGGAUCCGCGCCGCAUUAGCUAGUUGGUAAGGUAACGGCUUACCAAGGCAACGAUGCGUAGCCGACCUGAGAGGGUGAUCGGCCACACUGGAACUGAGACACGGUCCAGACUCCUACGGGAGGCAGCAGUAGGGAAUCUUCCGCAGUGGGCGAAAGCCUGACGGAGCAACGCCGCGUGAGUGAUGAAGGUCUUCGGAUCGUAAAACUCUGUUAUUAGGGAAGAGCAAAUGUGUAAGUAACUAUGCACGUCUUGACGGUACCUAAUCAGAAAGCCACGGCUAACUACGU